This 700-nucleotide ribosomal RNA is filed under the name Microbacterium sp. Its description in RNAcentral is "bacterial SSU rRNA". It matches the Rfam family "Bacterial small subunit ribosomal RNA", at positions 110 to 824 of the family's 1533-position model. Lineage: Bacteria; Bacillati; Actinomycetota; Actinomycetes; Micrococcales; Microbacteriaceae. The record is from RNAcentral.
GUAACACGUGAGCAACCUGCCCUGGACUCUGGGAUAAGCGCUGGAAACGGUGUCUAAUACUGGAUAUGAGGCGUGAUCGCAUGGUCAUGUUUGGAAAGAUUUUUCGGUCUGGGAUGGGCUCGCGGCCUAUCAGCUUGUUGGUGAGGUAAUGGCUCACCAAGGCGUCGACGGGUAGCCGGCCUGAGAGGGUGACCGGCCACACUGGGACUGAGACACGGCCCAGACUCCUACGGGAGGCAGCAGUGGGGAAUAUUGCACAAUGGGCGCAAGCCUGAUGCAGCAACGCCGCGUGAGGGAUGACGGCCUUCGGGUUGUAAACCUCUUUUAGCAGGGAAGAAGCGUGAGUGACGGUACCUGCAGAAAAAGCGCCGGCUAACUACGUGCCAGCAGCCGCGGUAAUACGUAGGGCGCAAGCGUUAUCCGGAAUUAUUGGGCGUAAAGAGCUCGUAGGCGGUUUGUCGCGUCUGCUGUGAAAUCCCGAGGCUCAACCUCGGGCCUGCAGUGGGUACGGGCAGACUAGAGUGCGGUAGGGGAGAUUGGAAUUCCUGGUGUAGCGGUGGAAUGCGCAGAUAUCAGGAGGAACACCGAUGGCGAAGGCAGAUCUCUGGGCCGUAACUGACGCUGAGGAGCGAAAGGGUGGGGAGCAAACAGGCUUAGAUACCCUGGUAGUCCACCCCGUAAACGUUGGGAACUAGUUGUG